GUAAAGCUCUUUCGACGAGUCGAGUUGUUUGGGAAUGCAGCUCAAAAUGGGUGGUAAAUUUCAUCUAAAGCUAAAUAUGGGCCAGAGACCGAUAGCGCACAAGUAGAGUGAUCGAAAGAUGAAAAGCACUUUGGAAAGAGAGUUAAACAGUACGUGAAAUUGUUGAAAGGGAAGCGCUUGCAACCAGACUUGGGCGUCGCUGAUCAUCCAAAGACUCUCUUUGGUGCACUCGACGACGCACAGGCCAGCAUCGGUUGGAGUGGUGGGAGAAAGGUUGCCGGAACGUGGCUCUUUUCGGAGAGUGUUAUAGCCGGCGACGCAAUACCGCCUACCCCGACCGAGGACCGCGCUUCGGCUAGGAUGCUGGCGUAAUGGUUGUAAGCGACCCGUCUUGAAACACGGACCAAGGAGUCUAACAUCUAUGCGAGUGUUUGGGUGUGAAAACCCAUGCGCGGAAUGAAAGUGAACGUAGGUGAGAACCCUUCGAGGGCGCAUCAUCGACCGAUCCUGAUGUCUUCGGAUGGAUUUGAGUAUGAGCAUAGCUGUUGGGACCCGAAAGAUGGUGAACUAUGCCUGAAUAGGGUGAAGCCAGAGGAAACUCUGGUGGAGGCUCGCAGCGGUUCUGACGUGCAAAUCGAUCGUCAAAUU
Molecule: ribosomal RNA, 648 nt
Filed under: Phyllactinia antarctica
Lineage: Eukaryota; Fungi; Ascomycota; Leotiomycetes; Helotiales; Erysiphaceae
Description: eukaryotic LSU rRNA
Rfam family: Eukaryotic large subunit ribosomal RNA
Source: RNAcentral